AACGAACGCUGGCGGCAUGCCUAACGCAUGCAAGUCGAACGAGACCUUCGGGUCUAGUGGCGCAAGGGUGCGUAACGCGUGGGAACCUGCCCUUAGGUUCGGAAUAACUCCCCGAAAGGGGUGCUAAUACCGGAUAAUGUCUUCGGACCAAAGAUUUAUCGCCUUUGGAUGGGCCCGCGUUGGAUUAGCUAGUUGGUAGGGUAAAAGCCUACCAAGGCGACGAUCCAUAGCUGGUCUGAGAGGAUGAUCAGCCACACUGGGACUGAGACACGGCCCAGACUCCUACGGGAGGCAGCAGUGGGGAAUAUUGGACAAUGGGCGAAAGCCUGAUCCAGCAAUGCCGCGUGAGUGAUGAAGGCCUUAGGGUUGUAAAGCUCUUUUACCCGGGAUGAUAAUGACAGUACCGGGAGAAUAAGCUCCGGCUAACUCCGUG
Molecule: ribosomal RNA, 433 nt
Filed under: uncultured bacterium
Lineage: Bacteria
Description: partial 16S ribosomal RNA
Rfam family: Bacterial small subunit ribosomal RNA
Source: RNAcentral